Molecule: ribosomal RNA, 421 nt
Filed under: Fusobacteriota bacterium
Lineage: Bacteria; Fusobacteriati; Fusobacteriota
Description: Fusobacteria bacterium partial 16S ribosomal RNA
Rfam family: Bacterial small subunit ribosomal RNA
Source: RNAcentral
UGGGGAAUAUUGCACAAUGGGCGGAAGUUUGAUGCAGCGACGCCGCGUGGAGGGUGUAGGCCUUCGGGUUGUGAACUCCUUUUUCUCGCGAAAAAGGCACAGUUUUGGCUGUGUUGAUGGUAGUGGGGGAAGAAGCGCCGGCUAACUACGUGCCAGCAGCCGCGGUAAUACGUAGGGCGCGAGCGUUGUCCGGAUUUAUUGGGCGUAAAGAGCUCGUAGGUGGUUCGUCGCGUCUGUCGUGAAAGCCAGCAGCUUAACUGUUGGUCUGCGGUGGGUACGGGCGGGCUUGAGUGCGGUAGUGGUGACUGGAAUUCCUGGUGUAGCGGUGGAAUGCGCAGAUAUCAGGAGGAACACCGAUGGCGAAGGCAGGUCACUGGGCCGUUACUGACACUGAGGAGCGAAAGCGUGGGGAGCGAACAGG